UCUCCCAACACCACAAAUUACAAGCUGAUACACGGUUGGGAGCAGAUCCCUCUCCUACCCUCUCCUCUUUGGUUAAUAAUCACAGCUACCGUUGAUGGAGCUGGACGCUCAAGAGCAGGGCUGGACGCUCCAUCUACCUUACCUUAUUUGGUCUUAGAACGAUCCUAUGAGGUGCCCCUCCAGGUCCUCCCCGGUGCUUCAACUUUUGACACCAGUCUGAAGUUUAAAUCUCAUGUCUUGCCUGUGUGACCCGGAUGAAGAGUCCCUUCACCUCUCUUGGCUGUAUUUCGUGCCUUCAUGAAGAGAAGGCAAGUCCUUGAUCUCAAGCUCUGAAAACAUCGGACAUGGGAGCAAAGGGGCAAAGGGACUUAGGCAGCAGGGAAGCUGGACCUCAUAAUCAAGGGCACGGGAACCUUUGGCCUUGGUGGCUUUUAUUUUGUAAAGUUUACUCUCUGCCUCGACGAUUCUUCUCCAGGAUAUCAAGGACCGCAUUUUCUUCCCCUGGAAUAUUUGAUACGGGAUCAAAAGACAGAACAGCUUCAAGAACAUUUUUCUGCAACCUGCAAAGGACUCUUGUGAUGACCAGAAGUUUUAGCAGCACCAAGUUCCAGCAAACUGCUAUACUGAUACCAAAUGUCACUCAACUCCCGUGGCUGCUGCCUUCUCCCUGGACAGAACCUCCUUACCAAACAAUAAGGCCAUGAAAACAACCUGCUGUCAAUGUCUUUCGGGGCAUCUUUGACCUUGAAUGUCCCUCUGGCCAGGGCUCAGUUGUGUCAGGAGCUGGCAUGCAACACUGAUCUUGCAGACACCAUGCACAGACAGGUGGGCAGAGCUGCAGGUCACCGUCCAAGACAGCCACCAACUCCUGCUUCCUGCAGCCUGGUCUGUAUGCCAGGAUUCCACUCGGCCCCGGAAGCUGGGGGCCCCGUUGGCAGCCAGCCAGCCCCUGGCACCUUAAUGUGGCCUGUUCCACCUGGCUGCAUGCCCCCUGCUUUCAAAGAGCCCCAGCCAAUCACUCUGCAAGACCUGGCCUCCUUGUAAUUUCCAAUUUGUGACAAAUGUAAAAAUAGAAGGCCAUUCGAUGCAGGCGGCUCGCAUCAAAUUGGAUGCCACUUUCGUGUCAUGUCAGAUCACAGUAAACAGAGCUGAUGACUUCGUCGGCCACUCUCAAUGACUUCUGGAGCAGUGAGAGGGUGGUGACAAAUUGUGGGACACCUAAGAGUUGGGGAAAGGUGGCUGGGUGCACAAUAUUAAAACCAGCUUCAAGUGAAUUUGAAGUCUAGCUCACAAAUAUGCUGUGAGAGGCAGGGCACCCGAGUGCAGAUCCCAGUUCUACACCUUAGCAGCGGAGGGACCUUGGGCACAACUCAUCUCUCCAUGCCCUGGCUUCCCCCAAAGAACACCACCACCCUCCCAGAGCUGUGGCCAAGCUCAACUGUUGGAAAACAAAGGGGGAGUGCUUUCUAACUGUGCAGCUCCAUAAAUGGGGCGUGUGGU
Molecule: long non-coding RNA, 1500 nt
Organism: Canis lupus familiaris (dog)
Lineage: Eukaryota; Metazoa; Chordata; Mammalia; Carnivora; Canidae
Exons: 4
Source: RefSeq, a predicted model, not a curated record